UAAAGCUUUAAGUUAAACUAAACUAUUAACCUUCAAAGUUAAAAAUAUAUAAUUAUUAUAAGCUUUAG
This 68-nucleotide transfer RNA is filed under the name Stiretrus anchorago. RNAcentral describes it as "tRNA-Trp". Lineage: Eukaryota; Metazoa; Arthropoda; Insecta; Hemiptera; Pentatomidae. The record is from RNAcentral.